This 264-nucleotide ribosomal RNA is filed under the name uncultured bacterium. RNAcentral's name for it is "partial 16S ribosomal RNA". It matches the Rfam family "Bacterial small subunit ribosomal RNA", at positions 89 to 354 of the family's 1533-position model. The record is from RNAcentral.
UGGCGACCGGCGCACGGGUGAGUAACACGUAUCCAACCUGCCGAUAACUCGGGGAUAGCCUUUCGAAAGAAAGAUUAAUAUCCGAUAGCAUAUCAAGAUCGCAUGAUCUUGAUAUUAAAGAAUUUCGGUUAUCGAUGGGGAUGCGUUCCAUUAGUUAGUUGGCGGGGUAACGGCCCACCAGGACGACGAUGGAUAGGGGUUCUGAGAGGAAGGUCCCCCACAUUGGAACUGAGACACGGUCCAAACUCCUACGGGAGGCAGCAG